This 915-nucleotide ribosomal RNA is filed under the name Clostridioides difficile. Its description in RNAcentral is "bacterial LSU rRNA". It matches the Rfam family "Bacterial large subunit ribosomal RNA", at positions 768 to 1689 of the family's 2925-position model. Lineage: Bacteria; Bacillati; Bacillota; Clostridia; Peptostreptococcales; Peptostreptococcaceae. The record is from RNAcentral.
GGAGGUCCGAACCCACGAGCGUUGAAAAGCUCGGGGAUGACUUGUGGGUAGCGGUGAAAUUCCAAUCGAGCCCGGAGAUAGCUGGUUCUCCCCGAAAUAGCUUUAGGGCUAGCCUCAAGGUGAGAGAUACGGAGGUAGAGCACUGAAUGUCCUAGGGGGUAUUGCACCUACCGAAGACUAUCAAACUCCGAAUGCCGUCAUCUUAUACUUGGGAGUCAGACUGUGGGUGAUAAGAUUCAUAGUCGAAAGGGCAACAGCCCAGAUCGUCAGCUAAGGUCCCUAAAUGUAAGUUAAGUGGUAAAGGAUGUGGGAUUGCACAGACAACCAGGAUGUUGGCUUAGAAGCAGCCACUCAUUCAAAGAGUGCGUAAUAGCUCACUGGUCGAGUGAUCCUGCGCCGAAGAUUUCCGGGGCUAAAACUUACUACCGAAGCUACGGCAUCAGUAAUGAUGGGUAGGGGAGCUUCCCAUACGGGUUGAAGCAUGACCGUAAGGACAUGUGGACAGUAUGGGAGUGAGAAUGUUGGCAUGAGUAGCGAGAUGUGGGUGAGAAUCCCACAGGCCGUAAACCCAAGGUUUCCAGGGGAAGGUUCGUCCGCCCUGGGUUAGUCGGGACCUAAGCGGAGGCCGAAAGGCGUAGGUGAUGGACAACAGGUUGAUAUUCCUGUACUACCGAUAACCGUUUGAGAGAAGGGAUGACACAGUAGGAUAAGCUAAGCACACUGUUGGUUAUGUGUGCCCAAGCAUUGAGGCAGUCAAAGUAGGCAAAUCCGCUUUGAUAAUGCUGGGAUGUGAUGGGGAGCGAAAUUUAGUAGCGAAGUAGCUGAUUUCACACUGUCAAGAAAAGUCUCUAUCGAGGUUAAAGGUACCCGUACCGCAAACCGACACAGGUGGGUGAGGAGAGUAUCCUAAGGCCA